CUGAUUCAAUCGCUGCCUGCUGGUUGAGGUUGACAGUGACAUCUGAAGGUACUGGUGGAUGGCUGUUCAAUGAGUGGUUUCUGGCAGUCAAAAAUAGGGGUUUCUUGCCACUGCUGCUGAUUUCUUGCCCAUGUUGGAUUAAAUGUUGGGCCUCUCUGGAUCUCUCCUGCAGACUCUACUUAAAAAUACAGAAUCUGUGGACACUGGACCGGAUUUUGAGCAGCGAAAUUGUCAUGGUUUCCAUUUGAAGUCAGAGUAUUUCCGUUGGCAUUGGUUGUACAACCAAUGGAGAGGAGAGGAAAGCAUACACCGCAAGGACAAUGUAGCUUCAGUUAGUGUCUAUAGUCAGAUAUUUGUUUGCAGGUGUGGAAGGAUCGCCAUGGCCAGCGGUAUACCUCGAGCGACAUGUGGGAAGCAGUAGACUGUUGACCCCCUUCAAUGGAAUACAACUGUGUAUAUUUUGUCUUUAUUGUCAACAGAAGUGCAGAAACCUUUACUUUCAGGAAAUACUUUAAUUGGCUAACCUCUUGUUAUAAAAUUUAAGUUAGCCAGCAUAUUUCUGGCAUGAACGUUGAGCUGCAUGUAAUGACGUAAUAUGGGAUUGCGAUGUAUCUGCUAUUGAUUACUCUGACUUGCCACGAUGGUUUGUCAAACCUGCUAGCCACCAGAUGAGGCUUAAUUCCUGUCAUGUCAUCACAGACAAACAACCUUACUUUCAAUACACAUGAAAGACUGA
Notolabrus celidotus (New Zealand spotty) is the source of this 736-nucleotide long non-coding RNA. RefSeq lists it as uncharacterized. The record is from RefSeq and is a predicted model, not a curated record. Lineage: Eukaryota; Metazoa; Chordata; Actinopteri; Labriformes; Labridae. The transcript has 2 exons.